AGGACACGCUGGCGGCGUGCCUAACACAUGCAAGUCGAGCGGGGUUGAAGCGAGAGGUAACUCGAACUUCUACCUAGCGGCGGACGGGUGAGUAACGCGUGGGCAACCUGCCUCAAGGUCUGGGAUAACAGCCCGAAAGGGCUGCUAAUACCGGGUAUGCUUGUGGCCUCGCAUGGGGCUACGAGCAAAGGGGAAACCCGCCUUGAGAUGGGCCCGCGUCCCAUCAGCUAGUUGGUGAGGUAACAGCUCACCAAGGCGACGACGGGUAGCCGGCCUGAGAGGGUGACCGGCCACACUGGGACUGAGACACGGCCCAGACUCCUACGGGGGGCAGCAGUGGGGGAUCUUGCACAAUGGGCGAAAGCCUGAUGCAGCGACGCCGCGUGAGCGGAGAAGGCCUUCGGGUUGUAAAGCUCUGUCUGGAGGGACGAAGAAAGUGACGGUACCUCCGGAGGAAGCCACGGCUAACUACGUG
Molecule: ribosomal RNA, 475 nt
Filed under: uncultured bacterium
Lineage: Bacteria
Description: bacterial SSU rRNA
Rfam family: Bacterial small subunit ribosomal RNA
Source: RNAcentral